GUGAAAAGUCAGGAACACGGGGCAGGAACAACCCAGCAUGAGCGGAACUGACUUGUUGUAACAGAUUCAAAUACAGAAGAAGGACAGACCUUGUGUGUCUUGGGGCCCACUCACCUCUGCACCCC
Orcinus orca (killer whale) is the source of this 125-nucleotide long non-coding RNA. RefSeq lists it as uncharacterized. The transcript has 3 exons. The record is from RefSeq and is a predicted model, not a curated record. NCBI's taxonomy places the organism in Eukaryota, Metazoa, Chordata, Mammalia, Artiodactyla, Delphinidae.